This 235-nucleotide ribosomal RNA is filed under the name uncultured bacterium. RNAcentral describes it as "partial 16S ribosomal RNA". It matches the Rfam family "Bacterial small subunit ribosomal RNA", at positions 15 to 244 of the family's 1533-position model. The record is from RNAcentral.
GAUCAUGGCUCAGAUUGAACGCUGGCGGCAGGCCUAACACAUGCAAGUCGAACGGUAACAGGAAGCAGCUUGCUGCUUCGCUGACGAGUGGCGGACGGGUGAGUAAUGUCUGGGAAACUGCCUGAUGGAGGGGGAUAACUACUGGAAACGGUAGCUAAUACCGUAUAACGUCGCAAGACCAAAGAGGGGGGACCUUCGGGCCGUCUUGCCAUCGGAUGUGCCCAGAUGGGAUUAG